AGAGUUUGAUCCUGGCUCAGGAUGAACGCUAGCGGGAGGCUUAAUACAUGCAAGUCGAGCGCCCCGCAAGGGGAGCGGCGCACGGGUGAGUAACACGUACGCAAUCUACCUUAUGCUGGGGGAUAGCCUUGGGAAACUGGGAGUAAUCCGCCAUAGUAUUUAUGAAUGGCAUCAUUUAUAAAUUAAAGUGAUAGCGGCAUAAGAUGAGCUCGCGUCUGAUUAGCUAGUUGGAGGGGUAACGGCCCACCAAGGCGACGAUCAGUAGCUGGUCUGAGAGGAUGAUCAGCCACACUGGGACUGAGACACGGCCCAGACUCCUACGGGAGGCAGCAGUGGGGAAUUUUCCGCAAUGGGCGCAAGCCUGACGGAGCAAGACCGCGUGCGGGAUGAAGGUCUAUUGAUUGUAAACCGCUUUUGUGGGGGACGAAACUGACGGUACCCCGCGAAGAAGCCUCGGCUAACUCCGUGCCAGCAGCCGCGGUAAUAC
RNAcentral lists this ribosomal RNA (487 nucleotides) under uncultured bacterium. RNAcentral's name for it is "partial 16S ribosomal RNA". It matches the Rfam family "Bacterial small subunit ribosomal RNA", at positions 8 to 526 of the family's 1533-position model. The record is from RNAcentral.